UUCCAAGAUACUAAUAGUGUUAUCUACAACAGGUAAUGAAUAGCUGGAUUUGAGCCGAUGACUUCAUUUUAUCAAGCCAUUGAAGGAUCCAGUUGCCAAGGUUUUGCCCAACUUCAAUAUCCCUUUCUUGUAUCUUGCAAUGAACUGUGAGUGCAACAUCAAAUGCAGCUCCCUAGCUUUUCUUAUUUCAAUUGACACCUACAAGUGCUAAUUUUAAGGGAAUUUGAAGUGAUCUGGUGGCACUCAUUCCUGUGUUGCUUGCCUAAAAUGUCAUUGAAAAGCUGAAGGGGAAAGGUGGAACAUGGCCUCAAUGACACCCAUUAAUAAGUUUACAUGCUGAAGAUUGAUAGGCCCCAAAGGCAGGUGAAUAUUUCCAUUUAGUUAGUCAAAGUAUUAUAGGAUUUUGUGGAAUAAAGUGAAUAUGUGUCUAAUUAUAAAUUGAAAGUGAGGUGUUCAUUUCAUUUUAGGCAGGAAUUAUUGUGUCAAAUUGGAUACUUGACAUUUUGUUAGAUAUUUGAAGCAUUACGCUUCCCCUAGUUCCUGAUCUUUCAUUUUAGACUUUUCCUCAACCUGCCCCAGCUUUUAGAGCUGAUUUAUUUUUCAUAGCCAAGAAAUUUAAGGUUGUGGAAUAUUUUAAACACGGUCAAUUGUUCGAAACUGGAAAAGAAUUGGAGAUUAUAGAAAGCGUAGUUAAAAGCCCAUACCUGCUCUAGUACUGUACUCCUACAGCUAAACUUUGAACCCCUCAAAGUGAUGUUACAAUUUGUUGGAGGUUGAUGACAGAUUGCAGGUAGCAUAUGAUGUGUAACUUCAUGCAUUUUCUCUUUCUUUUUCUUCCUUUUGUUGUAUGUGGGUUCAUAUUUCCUUUUGCAGUCUUUAAGUAAUGAAAAACUAAGCAAUUAGUUAUUAGUGGUUUUAGUUAUAGUUAUGGAUAAAUGGCCUGGUCAUGUGUUUGCUACUUUGUCCAUCGUUUUUAUGCUACGAGUUACAUAUUAGACUUUUAAUAUUGUUGAAAUGUUUUACUAUUGCUUUUUUUAGAUGGUUUAUCAUUUACGAGUAUAAUUUUUGUUCUCUACAUUUUUCAAAUUUUUUCUGAGAGUUUUUUUUGCAAUGUUACUUAUGAAUCUCUCAUAUUUAGCACUUCAUGUCUGAUUCUUACUUUCUCCCCAUCUUCAUUGUUGCUGUGGCUUAGACUUAGUUCAUACACAUCCUACCAAAUUUUAGCUGCAUAGAGAACAGGAAAACGUUGACAUGGCGUCACCCAACAGAAUGCCUGUAGAUUAGGAGCUUAUGGCUUUGGUUAGAACAUCUGGGAUUCAGCAAUUUAAUGAGCAAGAUAUAUGAUCUAUCUCAGUAUUCAAUGAAUGAACUUGCUGAUGAGGCUGUUACAUGUCUCAAGUGUGUGAAUGAUCCACAAUUCCUAUUCUCAGCACAAGGCAUUGAAAUUUCAAAGAGUUGUAGUUGUGGGAUGUGGAAAUUCAGGCAUGGAAGUGUCCCCUGAUCUUUGCAAUUAUGAUGCAAAACCUUCAAUGGUUGUUCGGAGCUUGAUGAGUAAUACACAACACAUAACAGUGACUUUCAUUCAUCCAUUUUCUUUCAAGAAAAUUGAGUCCCAGUAUGUAGAUUCUAAUGUGGUUUAUGGGUUUUCUUUUUAGGUUCAUGUAUUGCUAAUGAUUCUUACUUAUUUUUCUUUGCUUUUCUUCUCGAUUAUUAAUUGGUACAAAUGUCUAAAAUGUGGCAUCUAUCUUUAUCUCCUUUUUUAUAGGACAGGACCAAUAUUUAAGGCACAACUCAUGUCGAAGAUUACUGAGAAGAAAAUUAAGGAGACUGAUAGGAUGGUUUCACUUACUACUUAGUGGGUUUUUUUUUUUGGAAAAAUGUAUAGGAUUUUUAGGUGUGUGAGAAUUUUGGAUCUGGAUUUUGUAUGAAUAUUGUUACAUUUUAAAGUUCAAUUAAUAAUGAUUAUUGAAGUUAUU
This 1976-nucleotide long non-coding RNA is filed under the name Olea europaea subsp. europaea. The record is from RNAcentral. Lineage: Eukaryota; Viridiplantae; Streptophyta; Magnoliopsida; Lamiales; Oleaceae.